Molecule: long non-coding RNA, 259 nt
Organism: Sitophilus oryzae (rice weevil)
Lineage: Eukaryota; Metazoa; Arthropoda; Insecta; Coleoptera; Curculionidae
Exons: 2
Source: RefSeq, a predicted model, not a curated record
AAUCAGUUGAGGAUAUGAUAAAAUGCGGCAGAGGAAUACAUUUGAAGAGGAAACUGUAUUGAAAUAUAAAACGGUAUCCAACCACCGCCACCCACAGCCGGCAGCACAAGAAACCACGCCACUGCUGUUUAACAAAUGAGAAACAGUUCUAGUCAAAAUAUGUAGUAAACGUAUAUCGAAAAAUUGUCUUUUAAAUCGUACGAAUUACAUAGUUUUGUGUAUAUAUUUUUAUAAGUAAAAUGAUGCUGUAUAUCGCGAA